This is a long non-coding RNA of Harmonia axyridis, 742 nucleotides long. RefSeq lists it as uncharacterized. The record is from RefSeq and is a predicted model, not a curated record. NCBI's taxonomy places the organism in Eukaryota, Metazoa, Arthropoda, Insecta, Coleoptera, Coccinellidae. The transcript is spliced from 2 exons.
GCAGAAAGAUCAAGUUUAAUCAGUUUUAGGAGUCAUCAAACUCUGUAGUGGUGAAUCCCGCACUCCAUACCAUACUUCAUUUUCAGAAAAGACGGCCAAUAAGAUAGUAUGGAUCGGAGUAUUCCCCUUUUCUCUUCUUGAGAGAGUUAUAAAAUGCAGUAACAUUGCUGAUAGUGGCAUACAACUAUUGUGAACUGAAUCCAAAGAAGAAGUCUUCCACUACAAACGGAAACGAAUAUUUCUGAAAUGGCAUCCUCAUCAUUCUUGCUUAUCGCCGCAGUUGCCUGCAUCUCCUUCCAAUACACUUUGGCUUAUCCCAUGGAGGAAGUUGACGUAGAUGAAGAACCACUUUUCGAAUUUGUUGUUCCCGAAGGGCCUCAAAUAUAUGAUCACCUAAGAUAUGCCAGAUCUAUUCAACCCGGAGCCCCAAACUUCCCAAUGCCUGGUCAAGGAAAACAGGAAGGGUGGAAAUUUGACCCAUCACUCACAAGAGGUGAAGAUGGUAACACCUUAGGUUCUAUCAACAUUCAUCAUACUGGACCUAACCACGAAGUAGGAGCCAACUGGGAUAAAGUAAUCAGAGGACCAGGAAAAGCUAAACCAACUUACUCCAUUCACGGUAGUUGGAGGUGGUGAAGGUUAUGAAGCAUCAUAAUUUGUAAUUUUGCUCAAUACGCUUAUUUUUUAAUAUUAACUGUGAUUUUUUUCAUGUUAUUAAAAAAUUAUAUUUAUGCUAGUAGGA